ACGGGUGAGUAAUGCUUGGGAAUCUGGCUUAUGGAGGGGGAUAACGACGGGAAACUGUCGCUAAUACCGCGUAGAGUCGAGAGACGAAAGUGCGGGACCGCAAGGCCGCAUGCCAUAGGAUGAGCCCAAGUGGGAUUAGGUAGUUGGUGGGGUAAUGGCCUACCAAGCCGACGAUCUCUAGCUGGUCUGAGAGGAUGACCAGCCACACCGGGACUGAGACACGGCCCGGACUCCUACGGGAGGCAGCAGUGGGGAAUAUUGCGCAAUGGGGGCAACCCUGACGCAGCCAUGCCGCGUGAAUGAAGAAGGCCUUCGGGUUGUAAAGUUCUUUCGGUGACGAGGAAGGCGUGAUGUUUAAUAGGCAUCACGAUUGACGUUAAUCACAGAAGAAGCACCGGCUAACUCCGUGCCAGCAGCCGCGGUAAUACGGAGGGUGCGAGCGUUAAUCGGAAUAACUGGGCGUAAAGGGCACGCAGGCGGCUAUUUAAGUGAGGUGUGAAAUCCCCGGGCUUAACCUGGGAAUUGCAUUUCAGACUGGGUAGCUAGAGUACUUUAGGGAGGGGUAGAAUUCCACGUGUAGCGGUGAAAUGCGUAGAGAUGUGGAGGAAUACCGAAGGCGAAGGCAGCCCCUUGGGAAUGUACUGACGCUCAUGUGCGAAAGCGUGGGGAGCAAACAGGAUUAGAUACCCUGGUAGUCCACGCUGUAAAC
Molecule: ribosomal RNA, 709 nt
Filed under: uncultured bacterium
Lineage: Bacteria
Description: bacterial SSU rRNA
Rfam family: Bacterial small subunit ribosomal RNA
Source: RNAcentral